AUGGCGGCCACCGGUACCAAGCAGCAGCAGCCCACGGCAACACCGGUGGCGACGGUGGUGGACCCCAAGUUCGAGUGGGCGGAGAAGGAGGGCAGCUACGUGCUCCGCCUCACCCUGACGGGAUUCAGGAAGGAAGACUUCCGGGUGCAGGUGGACGGCACCGGGAAGCUCACCGUGCGAGGGGCGACCAGGCCGAGCGCCGGCGGCCCGGGCUCCUCCCUCUACAGGGUCUUCCAGCUGCCCGCAACCGCCAGCCUUGAUGACAUCGCCGGCCGCUUCGAGGCCGGCGUGCUCACGCUCACCGUGCGCAAGCUCGCCUCUUCCGGUGCCGGUGUGGCCAAGGACAAGGAGGACGGUGCGCCGCCGACGUCCACCGAAGAGAUCAGGAGCAAGCCCACGAAGGAGGCUGCCAAGCCGACGCCACCCGCAGAGGUUGGCGGCGCCGAGCCCAAGGAGAGCGUGCUCAGCCGGACGACUCGGCAGGUCGCCGAGCGCGUUCAGCGCAUGGAAGAGGAGGCCAACAGACGCAAGCAAGAGGAAGAGAAGAAGCCAGCACCGGCGGCGAAGAAGGACCAACACCCGAGGCCUAAGGCUCCUCAAGCGGCAACAGCAGCUGCGGCGACACCCGAGAAGCAAGGGUCUGCCAUCGGCAAGAAGGACAAGGCGGCAGUUGACCGGGAGAGCCUGGAGGACAGGGUUAGGUUGUGCGGUGACGGCGAGGAAGUGAGGGCCAAGGCAGCUGCCACGCCGACAGCCAUGGACGCGAAAGCGGAGCACGAGAAGAAGGCGGCGGCGGCGACAUGCACCGCCUGGAAGGAGCGCAUUGUAGGGGAGCUGAAGGGGCUGACAGACAUGAAGUGGGCGGACAACACAUUCGAGAUUGCGAGGAAGAACAAGGAGGUGGUCGCCGUCGGCGUCGCCGCCUUCUCGCUAGGCUUCUUCGUCUCCCAGAGGCUCUUCGGUAAGUGA
This 969-nucleotide ribosomal RNA is filed under the name Triticum aestivum (bread wheat). RNAcentral describes it as "partial small subunit ribosomal RNA". The record is from RNAcentral. Lineage: Eukaryota; Viridiplantae; Streptophyta; Magnoliopsida; Poales; Poaceae.